Molecule: ribosomal RNA, 253 nt
Filed under: uncultured bacterium
Lineage: Bacteria
Description: partial 16S ribosomal RNA
Rfam family: Bacterial small subunit ribosomal RNA
Source: RNAcentral
UACGUAGGGGGCAAGCGUGAUCCGGAUUUACUGGGUGUAAAGGGGGCGCAGACGGCGAUGCAAGCCAGGAGUGAAAGCCCGGGGCCCAACCCCGGGACUGCUCUUGGAACUGCGUGGCUGGAGUGCAGGAGGGGCAGGCGGAAUUCCUGGUGUAGCGGUGAAAUGCGUAGAUAUCAGGAGGAACACCGGUGGCGAAGGCGGCCUGCUGGACUGCAACUGACGUUGAGGCCCGAAAGCGUGGGGGGCAAACAGG